RNAcentral lists this ribosomal RNA (771 nucleotides) under uncultured bacterium. RNAcentral describes it as "bacterial SSU rRNA". It matches the Rfam family "Bacterial small subunit ribosomal RNA", at positions 8 to 796 of the family's 1533-position model. The record is from RNAcentral.
AGAGUUUGAUCCUGGCUCAGGACGAACGCUGGCGGCGUGCUUAACACAUGCAAGUCGAACGGAAAGGCCCUUCGGGGUACUCGAGUGGCGAACGGGUGAGUAACACGUGGGUGAUCUGCCCUGCACUUUGGGAUAAGCCUGGGAAACUGGGUCUAAUACCGAAUAUGACCAUGCGCCUCCUGGUGUGUGGUGGAAAGCUUUUGCGGUGUGGGAUGGGCCCGCGGCCUAUCAGUUUGUUGGUGGGGUAAUGGCCUACCAAGGCGACGACGGGUAGCCGGCCUGAGAGGGUGACCGGCCACACUGGGACUGAGAUACGGCCCAGACUCCUACGGGAGGCAGCAGUGGGGAAUAUUGCACAAUGGGCGCAAGCCUGAUGCAGCGACGCCGCGUGAGGGAUGACGGCCUUCGGGUUGUAAACCUCUUUCAGCACAGACGAAGCGCAAGUGACGGUAUGUGCAGAAGAAGGACCGGCCAACUACGUGCCAGCAGCCGCGGUAAUACGUAGGGUCCGAGCGUUGUCCGGAAUUACUGGGCGUAAAGAGCUCGUAGGUGGUUUGUCGCGUUGUUCGUGAAAACUCACAGCUUAACUGUGGGCGUGCGGGCGAUACGGGCAGACUUGAGUACUGCAGGGGAGACUGGAAUUCCUGGUGUAGCGGUGGAAUGCGCAGAUAUCAGGAGGAACACCGGUGGCGAAGGCGGGUCUCUGGGCAGUAACUGACGCUGAGGAGCGAAAGCGUGGGGAGCGAACAGGAUUAGAUACCCUGGUAGUCC